ACGGCGAGUGAAGCGGCAACAGCUCAAAUUUGAAAUCUGGUCCCCCCCCGCGGGGGCCCGAGUUGUAAUUUGAAGAGGAUGCUUCUGGCGAGGUGCCGUCCGAGUUCCCUGGAACGGGACGCCAUAGAGGGUGAGAGCCCCGUACGGUCGGACGCCGAGCCUCUGUGAAGCUCCUUCGACGAGUCGAGUAGUUUGGGAAUGCUGCUCAAAAUGGGAGGUAAACCCCUUCUAAAGCUAAAUACCGGCCAGAGACCGAUAGCGCACAAGUAGAGUGAUCGAAAGAUGAAAAGCACUUUGAAAAGAGAGUUAAAAAGCACGUGAAAUUGUUGAAAGGGAAGCGCUUGCGACCAGACUCGCGCCCGUCGGAUCAGCCGUCGCUUGCGGCGGCGCACUCCGGCGGGCUCGGGCCAGCAUCGGUUCGCCUCGGGGGGAGAAAGGCGGCGGGAAUGUGGCUCUACGGAGUGUUAUAGCCCGCCGCGCAAUACCCCCGGGCGGACCGAGGACCGCGCGUAUGCAAGGAUGCUGGCGUAAUGGUCGUCAGCGACCCG
Molecule: ribosomal RNA, 548 nt
Filed under: Microascus gracilis
Lineage: Eukaryota; Fungi; Ascomycota; Sordariomycetes; Microascales; Microascaceae
Description: eukaryotic LSU rRNA
Rfam family: Eukaryotic large subunit ribosomal RNA
Source: RNAcentral